This 264-nucleotide long non-coding RNA is filed under the name Nicotiana benthamiana. RNAcentral describes it as "long non-coding RNA (NBEN_LNC015438)". The record is from RNAcentral. Lineage: Eukaryota; Viridiplantae; Streptophyta; Magnoliopsida; Solanales; Solanaceae.
UGGGUGGCUGCUGGUUCUUCGGCAUCUGGUAGAAACGAGCAGCUAUUGGUGGUCAGCUGGUGGUCGUUUGGCCGAAGAUGAAGACGUUUCAGGGGGUUUUGGGUAGCUACUCAUUGGUGUUGUCCAGGUGAGAUGGGCGGCGGCCGUUUUGUGGUGAGGGAGAUGGGUGUUCCGCUAGGGUUAACUCUUGUAGUUUCCAUUGUUGUGUACUUGUCUAGUUCCUUAGUUCAAAAGAUGAGUCCAUGGCUGCUCCGAGGGCUUUAG